Molecule: unclassified non-coding RNA, 202 nt
Filed under: Hevea brasiliensis (rubber tree)
Lineage: Eukaryota; Viridiplantae; Streptophyta; Magnoliopsida; Malpighiales; Euphorbiaceae
Source: RNAcentral
GUUGGCAUUCCGAAUCUCUCAGCAUGUCCUCGCAUUGAGAGAAAUUGUCCUUCAAUUAUUGCACGCACCUCAGAAGGAUGAUCAAACUCUUCAACCUCAUGCUCCUUCAACUCACCCAAUGAGUUGGUAUUGAAGUUGUCAAUCACAAAUCGAUGGAAUCCAACUGGCAGGGGAGGCAGAAUUUCAUGCUCCUUGUAGUAGA